AAUAGAUGUGAUCGCCUGGUUUCACAUCGUCUCUGGAGAUUUUAUUGGAAAGGAAUCCCAUCUUCUCCGCCGACGAACGGAGAACCAGAAAUUAGGGAUUGCGUCGUCAGAGAGAGAAAGAUCUUAUUUUUUGCUUAGUGUGUAGGGUUUUCCAUCUUCCUUGGAUAACAUCAUAACUUUUUUAAAGUUCCAU
Arabidopsis thaliana (thale cress) is the source of this 193-nucleotide non-coding RNA. RefSeq annotates it as other RNA. NCBI's taxonomy places the organism in Eukaryota, Viridiplantae, Streptophyta, Magnoliopsida, Brassicales, Brassicaceae. The record is from RefSeq. The transcript has a single exon.